This 434-nucleotide ribosomal RNA is filed under the name uncultured bacterium. RNAcentral describes it as "partial 16S ribosomal RNA". It matches the Rfam family "Bacterial small subunit ribosomal RNA", at positions 27 to 507 of the family's 1533-position model. The record is from RNAcentral.
GAACGAACGCUGGCGGCAUGCCUAACACAUGCAAGUCGAACGAGACCUUCGGGUCUAGUGGCGCACGGGUGCGUAACGCGUGGGAACCUGCCCUUAGGUUCGGAAUAACUCCCCGAAAGGGGUGCUAAUACCGGAUAAUGUCUUCGGACCAAAGAUUUAUCGCCUUUGGAUGGGCCCGCGUUGGAUUAGCUAGUUGGUAGGGUAAAAGCCUACCAAGGCGACGAUCCAUAGCUGGUCUGAGAGGAUGAUCAGCCGCACUGGGACUGAGACACGGCCCAGACUCCUACGGGAGGCAGCAGUGGGGAAUAUUGGACAAUGGGCGAAAGCCUGAUCCAGCAAUGCCGCGUGAGUGAUGAAGGCCUUAGGGUUGUAAAGCUCUUUUACCCGGGAUGAUAAUGACAGUACCGGGAGAAUAAGCUCCGGCUAACUCCGUG